GGGGUUGUGGUUUAGGGGUAUAACAUUCCAUUUGCAUUGGAAAGGUCCCGGGUUCGAUUCCCGGCGACUCCA
RNAcentral lists this transfer RNA (72 nucleotides) under Aspergillus ellipticus CBS 707.79. It matches the Rfam family "tRNA". Rfam says of the family: Transfer RNA (tRNA) molecules are approximately 80 nucleotides in length. Their secondary structure includes four short double-helical elements and three loops (D, anti-codon, and T loops). The record is from Rfam by way of RNAcentral. RNAcentral also lists the same sequence under 1 other name. Lineage: Eukaryota; Fungi; Ascomycota; Eurotiomycetes; Eurotiales; Aspergillaceae.